GGGUGUUGAAAAUGAAGAACCCAAAAACAGAAACAUCAAGCUUAAUAAAUAGAGAUAUGUUCCACAAAAAUAAUCUUUCAUUUAGCUGUUCAACAAAACCGCCAACUCUCUGCAUCUCCUUAAACACUUUAAGUCUUUAAACACUUGCUUGCUAGACUUUUCUCCUUCCUUUUCCAGUUUUCUGCAGAAUGACUUUCCCUCCUUCCGACGGCUAUAACUUCCUCUACAAAAUAGCUAUCAACGAUUUGUGAAAUGUUCUGGAAACUAGACUCUUCUAGCUUUCCGUUGAUAUAAGGCAAGUUUCCUGGAUCUCUCUGAGCUGCUCGCAAUUUGCCGUCGAAUUUGGCUGAAAAUCUGGGCAGAAUUCCAUAUUUCUUAAGGUUUCAUCUUUAAUGCGCAUCUAUUUGCAGCGUGUAGCGUCUCUUUCCUCAUAUUACUUGCUCAAGAACUUGAGAAGGUCAGCCCUCGCUAGCACAUCAAGGUCCACUGCGCUCUCAUCGAGCAAAAACACCAAAAUUCAUUCACAGACAUUUUCUCAAACACCUUGUGUGCAUAACCAAAUAACAUAACACAAAUUAAACAUCCUAAACAAACAUGCAUUUACAAUCUAAUCAAUAAAAGAUUCAUGACACAGCAUUCGAUUUCAUAAAUGAUAUACCCAGAAUACAAUAAAACCCAUGAAUUCAAGCUUCUUUUUCUAUUUCUAGUUUUAAUCACAUUAAAAAGAAAAAGCAAUCAAUUAAUAAAGAAGAGAGAAACAUAUUAGCUUACCUUGUAAGCUGAAGACGAUGAUCGAAAUUAAUCCGAAAAGCCAUGACAUAAGACAUUUAUUGAAGGAUGAAAGAAAAAUCAAAGCGGAUGAAAUCGUCAAUGACGACGGCGGAGAGCUCCGUCAUGUGCUUCUAGAUAUGUUCUCUCUGAACUCGCUUUGGUAACGGCAUCAAUCUCUUAGUGGAGGACGACGGGUUCGCCGGAGAGAGUGAUUCA
Molecule: long non-coding RNA, 987 nt
Filed under: Fragaria vesca (wild strawberry)
Lineage: Eukaryota; Viridiplantae; Streptophyta; Magnoliopsida; Rosales; Rosaceae
Description: long non-coding RNA (FVES_LNC000236)
Source: RNAcentral